UUAUUGGAGAGUUUGAUCCUGGCUCAGGACGAACGCUGGCGGCGUGCCUAAUACAUGCAAGUCGAGCGAAUCAAUGGGAGCUUGCUCCCAUUGAUUAGCGGCGGACGGGUGAGUAACACGUGGGUAACCUGCCUGUAAGAUUGGGAUAACUCCGGGAAACCGGAGCUAAUACCGGAUAACAUUUCGAACCGCAUGGUUUGAAAUUGAAAGAUGGCGUCUAGCUAUCACUUACAGAUGGACCCGCGGCGCAUUAGCUAGUUGGUGAGGUAACGGCUCACCAAGGCAACGAUGCGUAGCCGACCUGAGAGGGUGAUCGGCCACACUGG
This 326-nucleotide ribosomal RNA is filed under the name Metabacillus bambusae. RNAcentral describes it as "bacterial SSU rRNA". It matches the Rfam family "Bacterial small subunit ribosomal RNA", at positions 1 to 316 of the family's 1533-position model. Lineage: Bacteria; Bacillati; Bacillota; Bacilli; Caryophanales; Bacillaceae. The record is from RNAcentral.